AGCUCCAAUAGCGUAUAUUAAAGUUGUUGCAGUUAAAAAGCUCGUAGUUGGAUUUCUGGCGGGGUGCCAAUGUCCGCCGUGUGGCGUGCGCAGCGGCGCCCUGUCAUCCUUCUGUUAACGUCUCUCGGGAUUUAUUUCUCGGUGGCGGGCUCAGAUAUUUUACCUUGAGAAAAUUAGAGUGUUUCAGGCAGGCUAGGCCGGAAUACAUUAGCAUGGAAUAAUGGAAUAGGACUACGGUCUCUUUGUUGGUUUGAGGGACUGGAGUAAUGAUUAAUAGGGAUAGUUGGGGGCAUUAGUAUUUGACUGUCAGAGGUGGAAUUCUCGGAUUUGUCAAAGACUAACUUAUGCGAAAGCAUUUGCCAAGGAUGUUUUCAUUA
This 377-nucleotide ribosomal RNA is filed under the name Oligotrichia sp. RNAcentral describes it as "SSU rRNA". It matches the Rfam family "Eukaryotic small subunit ribosomal RNA", at positions 587 to 975 of the family's 1831-position model. RNAcentral also lists the same sequence under 1 other name. The record is from RNAcentral. Lineage: Eukaryota; Ciliophora; Spirotrichea.